UACGAAGGGGGCUAGCGUUGCUCGGAAUCACUGGGCGUAAAGCGCACGUAGGCGGAUCUUUAAGUCAGGGGUGAAAUCCUGGAGCUCAACUCCAGAACUGCCUUUGAUACUGGGGAUCUCGAGUCCGGAAGAGGUGAGUGGAACUCCGAGUGUAGAGGUGAAAUUCGUAGAUAUUCGGAAGAACACCAGUGGCGAAGGCGGCUCACUGGUCCGGUACUGACGCUGAGGUGCGAAAGUGUGGGGAGCAAACGGG
Molecule: ribosomal RNA, 253 nt
Filed under: uncultured bacterium
Lineage: Bacteria
Description: partial 16S ribosomal RNA
Rfam family: Bacterial small subunit ribosomal RNA
Source: RNAcentral